AGUGAACGCUGGCGGUAGGCCUAACACAUGCAAGUCGAACGGCAGCACAGUAAGAGCUUGCUCUUACGGGUGGCGAGUGGCGGACGGGUGAGGAAUACAUCGGAAUCUACUUUUUCGUGGGGGAUAACGUAGGGAAACUUACGCUAAUACCGCAUACGACCUACGGGUGAAAGCAGGGGAUCUUCGGACCUUGCGCGAUUGAAUGAGCCGAUGUCGGAUUAGCUAGUUGGCGGGGGAAAGGCCCACCAAGGCGACGAUCCGUCGCUGGUCGGAGAGGAUGAGCGACCAAUCCUGAACAAGAAAACGGGCCAACCUCCUACGGGACGCCGCAGUUGGGAAUCUUGGACAAUUGGCGCAAGCCUGAUCCAGCCAUACCGCGUGGGUGAAUAAGGCCUUCAGGUUGUAAAGCCCUUUUGUUGGGAAAGAAAAGCAGCGGGUUAAAACCCAGCUGCUCUGACGGUACCCAAAGAAUAAGCACCGGCUAACUUCGUG
RNAcentral lists this ribosomal RNA (492 nucleotides) under uncultured bacterium. RNAcentral describes it as "partial 16S ribosomal RNA". It matches the Rfam family "Bacterial small subunit ribosomal RNA", at positions 29 to 507 of the family's 1533-position model. The record is from RNAcentral.